UACGAAGGGGGCGAGCGUUGUUCGGAUUUACUGGGCGUAAAGGGCGCGCAGGCGGCUCAUCAAGUCAGGCGUGAAAUCCCCGGGCUCAACCUGGGAACUGCAUUCAAAACUGACAAGCUAGAGUAUGGUAGAGGGUGGUGGAAUUUCCUGUGUAGCGGUGAAAUGCGUAGAUAUAGGAAGGAACACCAGUGGCGAAGGCGACCACCUGGACUGAUACUGACACUGAGGUGCGAAAGCGUGGGGAGCAAACAGG
Molecule: ribosomal RNA, 253 nt
Filed under: uncultured bacterium
Lineage: Bacteria
Description: partial 16S ribosomal RNA
Rfam family: Bacterial small subunit ribosomal RNA
Source: RNAcentral